CAUCUUGAAUAUGUGGUUUCAUUUUUGAACCUGCAUGUCCUACAUGCGAUUUCAGAUUGAAUCAUCCAGUGCAAAUUUCAAAUUGAAACCACUUAUGGAACAUGCGGUUUCAAUUUUGUACCCACCUCAUAAAAAAAAUUAAAUCAAAUUGAAACUGCAUCUUAAACAUACGGUUUCAGUGUUUAAAAUUGAAACUGCAUUUUGAACAUGC
RNAcentral lists this long non-coding RNA (211 nucleotides) under Elaeis guineensis (African oil palm). RNAcentral describes it as "long non-coding RNA (EGUI_LNC032486)". Lineage: Eukaryota; Viridiplantae; Streptophyta; Magnoliopsida; Arecales; Arecaceae. The record is from RNAcentral.